GACGAACGCUGGCGGCAUGCCUAACACAUGCAAGUCGAACGGAGAUUAUUUCGGUAAUCUUAGUGGCGAACGGGUGAGUAACGCGUGGGCAACCUGCCCUCUAGAUGGGGACAACAUCCCGAAAGGGGUGCUAAUACCGAAUGUGACAGCAAUCUCGCAUGAGGAUGCUGUGAAAGAUGGCCUCUAUUUAUAAGCUAUCGCUAGAGGAUGGGCCUGCGUCUGAUUAGCUAGUUGGUGGGGUAACGGCCUACCAAGGCGAUGAUCAGUAGCCGGUCUGAGAAGAUGAACGGCCACAUUGGGACUGAGACACGGCCCAGACUCCUACGGGAGGCAGCAGUGGGGAAUCUUCCGCAAUGGGCGAAAGCCUGACGGAGCAAUGCCGCGUGAGUGAUGAAGGAAUUCGUUCCGUAAAGCUCUUUUGUUUAUGACGAAUGUGCAGAUUGUGAACAAUGAUCUGUAAUGACGGUAGUAAACGAAUAAGCCACGGCUAACUACGUG
This 498-nucleotide ribosomal RNA is filed under the name uncultured bacterium. RNAcentral's name for it is "partial 16S ribosomal RNA". It matches the Rfam family "Bacterial small subunit ribosomal RNA", at positions 28 to 507 of the family's 1533-position model. The record is from RNAcentral.